RNAcentral lists this non-coding RNA (211 nucleotides) under Streptomyces curacoi. RNAcentral's name for it is "Streptomyces RNA 1601". It matches the Rfam family "Streptomyces RNA 1601". Rfam says of the family: Identified by deep sequencing of transcriptome at the end of exponential growth phase. The record is from Rfam by way of RNAcentral. Lineage: Bacteria; Bacillati; Actinomycetota; Actinomycetes; Kitasatosporales; Streptomycetaceae.
AACGACCGGCUGGACACCCAUGUAUCCAGCCCACAAGUGGAGGCUCCGAUCUCCCACCUGACCGUCCUCCGGGAUGGCGGGUCACCCGGUCAGGCGGCCACCAUCGUUCCGUACGGACGAUGGAGUCGCCCGAAAUCGCGCCCCGCGAUCAUCGCGGCGGUGCUCCGGUAGUGUUUUGGAGCCCCGCUGGUGAUCGUCCGGGGCAUUUUUU